Long non-coding RNA from Parus major (Great Tit), 242 nucleotides. RefSeq lists it as uncharacterized. NCBI's taxonomy places the organism in Eukaryota, Metazoa, Chordata, Aves, Passeriformes, Paridae. The transcript is spliced from 3 exons. The record is from RefSeq and is a predicted model, not a curated record.
CAGAAUGUCCCCUACCCUUAAACUUAGUUACCUCCUGGAUGCAAGGACUCUGCAGAUUUCAUCAGUGGUUUUCAGAAUAGGCAAAAGGGCAUCUGAAAAUUGUCAGUUGUUCAUUACAGUGUGCUGGAAAUCCACGGUGCCUCCUAUAGAGCAAGCCGAGGGUAUUAACAACCAAGCAUUUCCUUAGUUGGAGUUUUCACUAUCAGUGCAUUGGACACCUGCUUUCAGGAGCUCAAACCACU